CUAGAUGCACAAUAGUUGCACCAGCACUACGCCUCACACAUGGUAAUAACAAUUCACGGUUUCAAACUAUAAGAAGUACAGGGUACAACGACUUUGACAAGAAAAAAAUUUGAACCGUUUUUUUGACUUAUGGGUGGCAUAGUAGGUAAUUUAAGCUAACUUCAAGGUCAAUUUAAAUGACGUACCACAUAAGCAAUAGAUGCUUUAUUAAUAGGUAAAGAAAGAUAAUGGGAUCUCGUGAAUCAUGAGCUACAAUGUCUGCGUGUACCAAACUAAUGAGUCGCUCACCUACAAGUUCACCCAUUUAUGUGGCAUUGACGCCACAUAGGUCCAGCCACCCCAAAUGACAUGAACAUCCACCACCAAUAGCUAAUAUUAGAGACUUUGUGUCAGUUGCAACUUCCACCGCCAAUAAAAGGGGAUGCAUUCAUCCCGUUUCUUCUCAAGCACCAACUGUUCUCUCACACUAAUAGACUCGGUAAAAGAACACCUGUACUCUAAACCAUACCGGGAGUUUCAAAUCUUCAUAGCUUCUAAUAUUUCCACUAGAUUUACAAAGAAAUAGUAGUCCAUUUGGUUGAAAAUACAAAGAUGUAUGUUCUUGCUGAACUACAUGCCUAGGGUUCUGAGGCACCGGGAAUAAGAUCGUGGUCUAGUUCAUUCACCAGCUUAACCGCACUAUAGAAUAUCAAAGAGCAAACUGAAGCUGACGCUAGCGAGCUGGAGUCACUUCUAAUUGCACUAGAGAGUUCAUUUCUUUGGUUAUCGUGCAAAGAUAUCAAUGUAGCUCGCACAUUUAUUAAUCAAAACGGCUGCAUGAACCUCAUGAAUACUAUUAGUGUAGCUGAAUCUGAAUUUGAACUAAGACUAGUCGAUUCUUCUUGUGCUUGCCCGUAUUGCACUUUCUUCCGGUACAUACGAUAGGUUGCGGGAGGUCAAUAUUGGCGAAUCAUGAGAGGCGAUGUCACGGGAGAUAGUAUCGAUCCACAAAGUCCGGGUGAACUUACGAUGAUUCCCCUAGAUUAUUUAGGUUUCGGGCAAUAAUGCUUGGCCGGUCAGUCUAUGCACCUUGUUGUGGCCAGCCAUUGCCUGUGACAAAUAAGAACUACUAGCUAUGCAAAGACAAAGUUCCAACUAAAUGGCAAAAGCAAAGGCAACUCUAGCAACAACAAGGCCACAAUGUCCACCGUCUUUCAAAUGCAAAGUUUUUUCACAUUGUAGGUCCAACCUUGUGAUGAUUUGUAGACUUCAUUUGCUAAGUGUUCUAGUAGUUUUGCUCCCUGCUCCAGUACCUCUUUGUUUGUUUCCUUUGUCUGCAAAAUUGACCACCCCAUAAACCAGUGACAUUAGUUUGGUCAAGGUCAUGCCAUCAUGAAUUUUUUAAUCAAAAAUUAUCCCAUUUCUACAUUCGCAUAAAGUCAAUAAAAGUGAGGAAAUCUCCACCAAAACAAGUUUCUUAUCAAUCUUUUAAUAUUUUUUUAUCCAUCUCCCGAAACAUUCUUCAAUUGAAGAGGAAGUAGAUUUCUAACUAUAAGCAUAUUUCAAUAAGCUCCCAUCAAGAGUAGCAGC
This 1569-nucleotide long non-coding RNA is filed under the name Hordeum vulgare. RNAcentral describes it as "long non-coding RNA (HVUL_LNC006300)". The record is from RNAcentral. Lineage: Eukaryota; Viridiplantae; Streptophyta; Magnoliopsida; Poales; Poaceae.